Salmo salar (Atlantic salmon) is the source of this 1750-nucleotide non-coding RNA. The record is from RefSeq and is a predicted model, not a curated record. Lineage: Eukaryota; Metazoa; Chordata; Actinopteri; Salmoniformes; Salmonidae.
UGACAUCUUGACCAUGUUCUGUUAUAAUAUCCACCCGGCACAGCCAGAAGAGGACUGGCCACCCCUCAUAGCCUGGUUCCUCUCUAGGUUUCUUCCUAGGUUUUUGGCCUUUCUAGGGAGUUUUUCCUAGCCACCGUGCUUCUUUCACAUGUAUUGCUUGAUGUUUGGGGUUUUAGGCUGGGUUUCUGUAGAGCACUUUGAGAUUUCAGCUGAUGUACGAAGGGCUAUAUGAAUACAUUUGAUUUUGAUUUGACAUGGGAUGUAAUAAAGUCUUUGUUCAUCUUCAAAACAGCGUUGAAGGAAACUAACAAGAUUAUAGAGAUCAACCAUUACCUGCUGGGGACCAUGUCUGGUAGUGCUGCUGACUGCCAGUACUGGGAGAGACUGCUGGCUAAGGAGUGCAGGCUGUACAAACUGAGGAACAAGCAGAGGAUCAGUGUCUGCAGCCUCUAAGCUGCUGUGUAACAUGAUGCUGGGAUACAGAGUCAUGGGCCUCUCCAUGGGCAGCAUGAUCGUUGGCUGGGACAACAAGGUACAGGGUGGGAGGGAGUAGAGUUUGUAUAUGUGUGUGGGGUGGUAUGUGUUUAUUUGAAAGGAUGAUUUUAUAGCUUACAUUUUCAUCCUGAUGGUACCCACAAUUCGGUUACUGGCCCAACGCUCUUAACCGCUAGGCUACCUGCCACCACAAUUUUUCACACAGGUUAUCAAAAUAUUUAUUACUUCUUAAGCCCAUAUACAAAAUUAUAUUGUUCCACUUCCAAUACCUGUUUAGAGCAUAUCUUACUGCAAACAUUAUUAAAAGGCCCAGUAUGACACUGAUUCAAAUUGUGGACUUUGAGAAGUGUAAGAACAUUACAGAACGCAUGAAUUUGGUCUCUAAUUUGUCUUGUUGUGGAUCACAUUAAAUGGAAUGAAAUAAUGGGGCCAACAGAGGGCUGCCUUGCUUCUAGUCCAUAGGAAACUUUGCGACAAGCAUUUCACCACCCGCAAUAACAUCUGCUAAGCACGUGGUGUAUGCGUUUGUAUUUAUUAUGGCUCCCCAUUAAAAUGAAGGCAGUUUAUACAAUUAAAACUUUACAUUUACAAAACACUGUGGCCUCAGGCCUCUACUCCGCCACAUAUCUACAGUUCUAAAUCCUUAUGUAUUGUGUGUGCCAAUGUGUGUGCUGCUUCACAGUCCCCGCUGUUCCAUAAGGUGUUUAUGUUUUUAAAAUAUAAUUUUACUGCUUGCAUCAGUUAGUUGAUGUGGAAUAGAGUUCCAUGUAGUCAUGGCUCUAUGUAGUACUGUGUCUGUUCUGGACUUGGGGACUGAAGAUACCUUUUGUGGCAUGUCUUGUAGGGUAUGCAUGGGUGUCCCGAGCUGUGUGCCAGUAGUUAAGACAGACAGCUCGGUGCAUUCAACAAAAAAAGUUGUGAUGAAGUCACUCUCCUCCACUUGUAGAAUAUGUGACCAAUACAUUUAACUUGGAUUAGAUCAUUGCUUUGUGUAGAGCAUCCUUAAUGUACAAAGCACAAACACUUGCAAUAAAAGUUGUUGUUCAACUUGACCCAUCACCAACUUAUUCUACAGAACGCACUAGCCACAAAAAGAAAAACACCACCACUUCAAAUGAAAUAUGUACAAAUGGAACAUGUGGACAGGCCUUGUCUGGCUUACAGUUAUACAAUUAAACAAGUUAGUGUGAGCAAAGUUAUAACGUCACACAAUUACUGUAUCUUAUGCCACCAAAACAGACAUAUGAAGCUACAC